This 316-nucleotide unclassified non-coding RNA is filed under the name Hevea brasiliensis (rubber tree). Lineage: Eukaryota; Viridiplantae; Streptophyta; Magnoliopsida; Malpighiales; Euphorbiaceae. The record is from RNAcentral.
GAGAUACUGUGAGCUUGAGCAAUGGGUUCAGUCUCAUGGAUUCAGACCUGGUCAGGCCAUGAUGCUGUGGAAGCGGCUUUAUGCGCAAAAUAUUUGGGCGCAUUAUGUUGAUGAAUUGGAAGGUUUGAAUAAGGAUUUAAAAAAAAUGUUGAGUGAACAUGCUGAAUUGAAGGCAAUAUCUUUGGAAGAUGUUCUUACAGCAUCUGAUGGAACUAGAAAGAUUUUAUUUAGGUUGGAUGAUCAACUGGUAAUAGAGACGGUUAUCAUACCUUGUGAUAGAGGUAGAACAACAGUUUGUGUUUCAAGUCAAGUGGGG